This 447-nucleotide ribosomal RNA is filed under the name uncultured bacterium. RNAcentral's name for it is "bacterial SSU rRNA". It matches the Rfam family "Bacterial small subunit ribosomal RNA", at positions 329 to 793 of the family's 1533-position model. The record is from RNAcentral.
GGCCAGACUCCUACGGGAGGCAGCAGUGGGGGAUAUUGCACAAUGGGGGCAACCCUGAUGCAGCGACGCCGCGUGAGCGAUGGAGUACUUCGGUAUGUAAAGCUCUGUCAGCAGGGAAGAGAAUGACGGUACCUGACCAAGAAGCCCCGGCUAAAUACGUGCCAGCAGCCGCGGUAAUACGGAGGGUGCAAGCGUUGUCCGGAAUCAUUGGGCGUAAAGAGUUCGUAGGCGGUAUGUUAAGUCUGGUGUUAAAUGCAGAAGCUCAACUUCUGUUCGGCACUGGAUACUGGCAAACUAGAAUGCGGUAGAGGUAAAGGGAAUUCCUGGUGUAGCGGUGAAAUGCUUAGAUAUCAGGAGGAACAUCGGUGGCGUAAGCGCUUUACUGGGCCGUAAUUGACGCUGAGGAACGAAAGCCAGGGUAGCAAAUGGGAUUAGAUACCCCGGUAA